Dermochelys coriacea (leatherback sea turtle) is the source of this 445-nucleotide long non-coding RNA. RefSeq lists it as uncharacterized. The record is from RefSeq and is a predicted model, not a curated record. NCBI's taxonomy places the organism in Eukaryota, Metazoa, Chordata, Testudines, Dermochelyidae. The transcript has 2 exons.
GAGCCAGGGAAGGAGAUAGAUGUGUCUUGUUUGCGGCAGCCUGCUGCCAAACUAGGAGGUGCCCUGGACCUAGGGAGGACCGAAGCCAGGGAGGAGCUGGUGGGGCUGCCAUUGGCUUAGUACCCUGAUGAAGUAGGGGAUCCUGAGACAAUGGAGCCUGAUCUGGAACUCUGAGACACACCAUGUUCCCAAGCAGCUGGAAACUUGGCAGUAAACUAAAGAAAAGCUCACCUGUUGCCUGAUCCAAUGUGCACUGAAAACAAUGGAAACAUUCCCAUUGCCUCUUGUGGAUGUUGGAUCAGGGUCCUAAUGAGCCAGCAACCAGAAGAUUGCUUGUUAAUUAUUUUACUUUGAUGACAAGUUUGUUCCCUGUGACAUUUGUUUUUAGUUUUUAUUUUCUGUUUAUUUCUGUAUGAUUAAGAAUGAAACAUCUGCUCCUAUUGUC